GAAACCGAACGCCUACAAUCAGUUGGAGGGCCCUUGAGGCCUGACAGCGUACCUUUUGUAUAAUGGGUCAUCGACUUGGUCUCACGAGCAAGCUUAAACCGUUAGGUGUAGGCGCAGCGAAAGCGAGUCUUAAUAGGGCGCAUGAGUUCGUGGGAUCAGACCCGAAACCGAGUGAUCUAGGCAUGGCCAGGUUGAAGGUGCAGUAACAUGCACUGGAGGACCGAACCCACAUCUGUUGAAAAAGAUCGGGAUGAGCUGUGCCUAGGGGUGAAAGGCCAAUCAAACUCGGAGAUAGCUGG
Molecule: ribosomal RNA, 299 nt
Filed under: Pseudopedinella elastica
Lineage: Eukaryota; Dictyochophyceae; Pedinellales
Description: partial Bacterial large subunit ribosomal RNA
Rfam family: Bacterial large subunit ribosomal RNA
Source: RNAcentral